AGCAGCCGCGGUAAUUCCAGCUCCAAUAGCGUAUAUUAAAGUUGUUGCAGUUAAAAAGCUCGUAGUUGAAUUUCGGGAUCAAUACGUCGGUCGUGCCUCCGGUACGUACUGGCGUCGUUGAUUUCUCCCUUCUGAUGAGCCACGAUGUCAUUAAUUUGAUGUUGCGGGGAGUCAGGACUGUUACUUUGAAAAAAUUAGAGUGUUUAAAGCAGGCAA
RNAcentral lists this ribosomal RNA (216 nucleotides) under uncultured Glomus. RNAcentral's name for it is "partial small subunit ribosomal RNA". It matches the Rfam family "Eukaryotic small subunit ribosomal RNA", at positions 569 to 787 of the family's 1831-position model. The record is from RNAcentral. Lineage: Eukaryota; Fungi; Glomeromycota; Glomeromycetes; Glomerales; Glomeraceae.